GUCGGGGCCUAAGGCGAGGUCGAAAGACGUAGUCGAUGGACAACAGGUUUAGAUUCCUGUACUUCAUGAUAUCAGAACUGUGGGGACACAGAGACAAAGGACGAGCCGGGAAUGGAAAAACCGGUGCAAGCGAGGUAGCUUCAUGGGAGGGAAAGCCCCCAUGUAUAAGGCGAAUGCGUGAAGCGUAGCGAACUUAAAAGUAGCGAAGCGUGUGGAGUCACUGUCAGGAAAAGCCGCUAUUGCGUAUCAUGAACCCGUACCGUAAACCGACACAGGUGGAUGAGGAGAGAAUCCUAAGGCCGACGGAAGAAGCAUUGUUAAGGAAUUCGGCAAAAUGACCCCGUAACUUCGGGAGAAGGGGUGCCUACGAAUGUAGGCCGCAGAGAAUUGGCCCAAGCAACUGUUUAGCAAAAACACAGGUUUAUGCGAAACCGAAAGGUGAAGUAUAUGAGCUGACGCCUGCCCGGUGCUGGAAGGUUAAGGGGAGAGCUUAGAGGCAACUCGAAGGUUCGAACUUAAGCCCCAGUAAACGGCGGCCGUAACAAUAACGGUCCUAAGGUAGCGAAAUUCCUUGUCGGGUAAGUUCCGACCCGCACGAAAGGCGUAAUGAUUUGGGCACUGUCUCGACAAUGCAUCCGGUGAAAUUGAAAUACCAGUGAAGAUGCUGGUUACCCGCGCCAGGACGGAAAGACCCCAUGGAGCUUUACUCCAGUAUGAUGCUGGGAUUCGGUACUGCAUGUACAGGAUAGGCGGGAGACUAGGAAGAUAUAACGCCAGUUGUAUCAGAGUCGCUGUUGGGAUACCGCCCUUGUAGUACUGGGUUUCUAACCUGCCACCGUGAACCGGUGGAGGGACAACGUCAGGCGGGGAGUUUGACUGGGGCGGUCGCCUCCGAAAGGGUAUCGGAGGCGCUCAAAGGUUCCCUCAGAAUGGUUGGAAACCAUUCGAAGAGUGCAAAGGCAGAAGGGAGCUUGACUGCGAGGUCGACGGACCGAGCAGGUACGAAAGUAGGACUUAGUGAUCCGGUGGUAGAAAGUGGGAUUGCCAUCGCUCAACGGAUAAAAGCUACCCUGGGAUAACAGGCUAAUCACUCCCAAGAGUUCUCAUCGACGGAGUGGUUUGGCACCUCGAUGUCGGCUCAUCGCAUCCUGGGGCUGUAGCAGGUCCCAAGGGUUGGGCUGUUCGCCCAUUAAAGCGGUACGCGAGCUGGGUUCAGAACAUCGUGAGACGGUUCGGUCCCUAUCCGGCGCGGGCGUAGGAUAUCUGAAAGGAGCUGGCCUUAGUACGAGAGGACCGGGCUGGACGGACCGCUGGUGUAUCUGUUGUCAUACCAAUGGCAUAGCAGGGUAGCCAAGUCUGGAAGGGAUAAACGCUGAAGGCAUCUAAGCGUGAAGCCCCCCUUAAGAUAAGAUAUCCCUGGAGUUAAUCCAGUAAGACCCCUUGAAGACGACGAGGUAGAUAGGGCAGAGGUGGAAGUGUGGUAACACAUGGAGCUGACUGUCACUAAUAGGUCGAGGGCUUGACCG
This 1526-nucleotide ribosomal RNA is filed under the name metagenome. Its description in RNAcentral is "bacterial LSU rRNA". It matches the Rfam family "Bacterial large subunit ribosomal RNA", at positions 1383 to 2925 of the family's 2925-position model. The record is from RNAcentral.